RNAcentral lists this long non-coding RNA (227 nucleotides) under Elaeis guineensis (African oil palm). RNAcentral describes it as "long non-coding RNA (EGUI_LNC045424)". The record is from RNAcentral. Lineage: Eukaryota; Viridiplantae; Streptophyta; Magnoliopsida; Arecales; Arecaceae.
UGGCAUCAUCUGGAGAUUGGCCUCUGGGGUGGAGGCCCCUACAGGGGAACCCCUUGGAGAGACUCGGGGGACUGGAAAUGGUGGAGAGCCAGCGGAGAUGGCAAAGACCGGCGCGAGGGAUGCUCGGAGUCAGAAGGGGCACCGAUGUAGUGGCUGAGUGGCUAAGCUCUCAGGCGAAAGAAAGUUGUCGUCCCUCAGGCGAAGUGAAGCCUCUGGAGGAGAGGUGG